AUUGAACGCUGGCGGCAUGCUUUACACAUGCAAGUCGAACGGUAACAGGGUGCUUGCACCGCUGACGAGUGGCGAACGGGUGAGUAAUGCGUCGGAACGUGCCGAGUAGUGGGGGAUAACGCAGCGAAAGUUGUGCUAAUACCGCAUACGUACUGAGGUAGAAAGUGGGGGACCUUCGGGCCUCACGCUAUUCGAGCGGCCGACGUCUGAUUAGCUAGUAGGUGAGGUAAAGGCUCACCUAGGCGACGAUCAGUGGCGGGUCUGUGAGGAUGGUCCGCCACACUGGGACUGAGACACUGCACAGACUCCUACGGGGGGGAGCAGUGGGGAAUUUUGGACAAUGGGCGAAAGCCUGAUCCAGCCAUGCCGCGUGUCUGAAGAAGGCCUUCGGGUUGUAAAGGACUUUUGUCAGGGAGGAAAUCCCUAGUGCUAAUAACACUGGGGGAUGACAGUACCUGAAGAAUAAGCACCGGCUAACUACGUGCCAGCCGCCGCAGUAA
RNAcentral lists this ribosomal RNA (500 nucleotides) under uncultured bacterium. RNAcentral's name for it is "partial 16S ribosomal RNA". It matches the Rfam family "Bacterial small subunit ribosomal RNA", at positions 30 to 523 of the family's 1533-position model. The record is from RNAcentral.